UAAAGGGCUGUUCGAAAAGGAGACCGCCACUUGGAUAGCAAUGUCUGGUCGAGGCAAGGGUGGGAAGGGCCUGGGCAAGGGGGGCGCCAAGCGCCAUCGCAAGGUUCUGCGCGACAACAUCCAGGGGAUCACCAAGCCCGCCAUCCGGCGGCUGGCCCGGCGCGGCGGCGUCAAGCGCAUCUCCGGGCUCAUCUACGAGGAGACCCGCGGGGUGCUUAAGGUGUUCCUGGAGAACGUGAUCCGGGACGCUGUCACCUACACGGAGCACGCCAAGCGCAAGACCGUCACGGCCAUGGACGUGGUCUACGCGCUCAAGCGCCAGGGCCGCACCCUCUAUGGCUUCGGGGGCUGAGCACCCACAGCCCACCGUAUUUCCAAACUCAAAGGCCCUUUUCAGGGCCGCCCACAAAAUCACUUUAAAGGGCUGUUGUGCUUAGUAGAAAUAAGUUUGGGGUAGUGAAAGGUUAGUAAGUUUGAAGUACGUUACCAUUUACGCAGCGAUGUAAUCCAGAUCACGGGAUAUUUACACCACAGCAUACUUAGAGUUUUGCGGAAAACCCAUUUUUUAAAAAAGCGGUCAGUUACACGGUGGCAAUGAAAUGGUUUCAGGACAGAAAUGAGUAUUUUAUGCAAUCGGGAGCAUCCCGACUUAGGUCGUUUUUGGGUCGUUUGGAUGAGGGCAGAGCCGGCAGCGUCCAGGGCGCAAAGCUCUCGGGUCACACCAGCUUCUGUGUAAAAGAAUGUCCUUUGGGGACAAGCUCUGAUUGGAUGAUACUCGCUGUACUGCAGGAAAAAAAUGGGGAGGGUGGGAUUUCAGCACCAUUUUCCUGUUGGCUUAAAGGGUGUAAUAUCUGUCCCCGGAACUGGCAGAAAAAGCUUCGUUGGUUUGCUUUGUUUUUAACCCGCUGUAUGCCAGGCGCUAAAGUGGCGCGAGGAACAAAGGCGCCCAGGAUCGCGGGGGCCAGUUCUCGACGGAUUCGAGCAGUGCCAGGGACCUGCCGGCUUCCAGGCGGGGGUCUGAGGUCGGUGCACUGCUGGGCGCGGCAGUCGGACAAAGGACUCACGGCCUUGCCAGCAUGUCUUAAACGCCGUGGAAAAGGCCCCGAAUUUAAGGCCUGCGCUAGAAGGAACCGCAGCUCUCCCUCCAGGUGCUCACGCUCGCACGCGACCUCACAAGCUCACACCCGAGUGAAGACACUGACUGUGGUAGCAGAGAAGGAGUGACAGCUACUCCAGACGGUCGGCAGGUGGGACAGCAGGGCGUUGAUCUCUCCUUGUUCCUUCCUUACUGGUUCUUCUUCCAAGGGCUUCCCGAUCUGCUUUCUGGCUAACAUGUUAUCAGAUUUGGGAAUUCGUUGAGUUGAUAGAGUAAGCAUGUAGAAUGGUGCCUUGCACACGCUUUGUGCUACCCCAGUGUUAGCAACUGUUGUGAUAGUGUUUUCAUUAGUGAAAAUAUAAAAAUCACAUUUACUGCCACCCCCGAUCUGCCUUUCCCUGCUGUACUUUGUACCUCCCCAGAGUGUUUAUUCCUUUCUCGUGUUCUAUGUAAUUACGUGUGGUAACUACUAUUUGUUGUCUGUUUUCACCAGCAGAGAUGUAAGCUCCACGAUGGCGGCGAGUCGCCCCUUUCCGAAGGGACAGUCACUGAAGGUGGAGGAACAGAGCCGGACGAUGGGCCUUCAGGGCUGGGAGAGAAAAGGAAAACUUCCCCUCCUUAUACCACCCCAAUACUCUGUCCUCAUUCUCUCUGUGCUGGCCGUUGUCACUGGCUGAUGAAAAGCCAUUGUGGGGCCUCUAGAAGGGACAGAAGGGCAAGAGGAAGUGGGGCGGGGGUGGAAGAGAGGGCACACGGAAAGGGAACCAGAUCUUAGGAUUCCGGAGAGCUUGCUUUCCCUGCAUUCACUGGCUCUUUCUCUGCCGGCCCCGCCUGUGUUUCCCUCUUUCCCUGGCAGCUCAGUGCUGCGAUGACUGAGUCCUGGUCAAAACACUGUGGACAGGAUCAUGUGUGCCCCUUCCAGGCCGGCCCACGAAACCCUCGUUUCUCCCUGCUGGCCGGAUGCCGAGGCUCCCGCAAGAGCUCUGAGACCCGAGGAUAUCCGAGGCACAAGCUGGAAGGAACCAUCCCUGAAAGACAUGGAGCCACGUGCUACUGCCUCGUUGUGACCGGACAUUAAAUGACAUUGUGUAACAGACUGAGAGCCUUCUGUCGUGGCUAGCCACUAAGUUUGGGGGAUCUGUUCCAUAGAACAAAGUAUCAGAGACCUUACUUUGACCUGAGGCUUGUCUAGUGACGCGGACUCCACAUUGCCCUUCACAGUAGCCCUUGAUCCUAGAUCCGGUCUCCUAGUCCAUGAUCAGCAAUGUUCUCCCCCAGCAAAUGCCAGACACCAGAGCUCCCACCCCACACACUGGCUCCUUCAAGCCCUGUGCGCACUGGGGCAGCCUGCCCAGAAUUUCAUUCCUGGGUUCAUCAUCGUGGCCCCUCCUCAUUGCCCUCACUGCUUUAAUCCUGCUUUCUUCUGUUUUUCGGUUUUUUCUCCACGACACUUGCCUUCCAACAGACCAGAGAUUUUCAUUAUCCAUUAUGUUUUCCAGUCUUACCCUCCCAGAGUCCUAGCUCCCUGAGGGAAGGGAUUUUGUGAUUCUGCCCACAUGAACUUGGCACACAGUAGGCAUUCAAAACUGUUAUUGAAUGAAUUGAUUCAUUCAAUCAUUUAUGUAUACUGACUAUGUGCCGGGCCCAGUAACAGCCCCUGGGGAUACCCUGUGACCAAAUCAGAGCUCAGAGCCUAUUGGACAUGACAACUAGAUGAGUAGUAACAAUUAAUUGCAAACGGAGCAAGGAGCAUGCUGAACAUUUGGCGGGAAAAAAAAAAAAAAAAAAAAAAAAAAAAAAAAAAAAAAAAAAAAAAAAAAAAAAAAAAAAAAAAAAAAAAAAAAAAAAAAUUGAAAGAAAGAGAGAAAGAGAAAGAACUCCAGGGACUUAAAAAUGAAUAUAAGAAAGGAAAUGUAACAGUAGUUCACCAUAUGGCUCAGCUGGAAAUAGGGUUCUCUAACCUCAUAGCAAU
RNAcentral lists this long non-coding RNA (3068 nucleotides) under Ailuropoda melanoleuca (giant panda). RNAcentral's name for it is "lncRNA (ENSAMEG00000026856.1)". The stretch from base 381 to 426 matches the Rfam family "Histone 3' UTR stem-loop". Lineage: Eukaryota; Metazoa; Chordata; Mammalia; Carnivora; Ursidae. The record is from RNAcentral.